GGUUGUAGCUCAGUGGUAGAAUACUUGCCUUGCACACAUGAGGCCCUGGGUUUGAUCCUAAGCACCA
RNAcentral lists this transfer RNA (67 nucleotides) under Marmota monax (woodchuck). Its description in RNAcentral is "tRNA.Ala". Lineage: Eukaryota; Metazoa; Chordata; Mammalia; Rodentia; Sciuridae. The record is from RNAcentral.